GUUUGAUCAUGGCUCAGAUUGAACGCUAGCGGCAGACAUAACACAUGCAAGUCGAGCGGCAUCAUACAGGUUGGCAAGCGGCGCACGGGUGAGUAAUACAUGUAAAUAUACCUUUAAAGUGGGGAAUAACGUACGGAAACGUACGCUAAUACCGCAUAAUUAUUACGAGAUAAAGCAGGGGCUUGAUAUAAAAACAAUCAACCUUGCGCUUUUAGAAAAUUACAUGCCGGAUUAGCUAGUUGGUAGAGUAAAAGCCUACCAAGGUAACGAUCCGUAGCUGGUCUGAGAGGAUGAUCAGCCACACUGGGACUGAGAAAAGGCCCAGACUCCUACGGGAGGCAGCAGUGGGGAAUAUUGGACAAUGGGGGGAACCCUGAUCCAGUCAUGCCGCGUGUGUGAAGAAGGCCUUUGGGUUGUAAAGCACUUUCAGCGAAGAAGAAAAGUUAUAAAAUAAAAAGUUAUAACUAUGACGGUACUCGCAGAAGAAGCACCGGCUAACUCCGUGCCAGCAGCCGCGGUAAGACGGAGGGUGCAAGCGUUAAUCAGAAUUACUGGGCGUAAAGGGCAUGUAGGUGGUUUGUUAAGCUUUAUGUGAAAGCCCUAUGCUUAACAUAGGAACGGAAUAAAGAACUGACAAACUAUAGUGCAAAAGAGGAAGGUAUAAUUCCCGGUGUAGCGGUGAAAUGCGUAAAAUAUCUGGAGGAAUACUAGUUGCGAAGGCGACCUUCUGGGCUGACACUGACACUGAGAUGCGAAAGCGUGGGGAGCAAACAGGAUUAGAUACCCUGGUAGUCCACGCUGUAAACGAUAUCAACUAGCCGUUGGAUUCUUAAAGAAUUUUGUGGCGUAGCUAACGCGAUAAGUUGAUCGCCUGGGGAGUACGGUCGCAAGGCUAAAACUCAAAUGAAUUGACGGGGGCCCGCACAAGCGGUGGAGCAUGUGGUUUAAUUCGAUGCAACGCGCAAAACCUUACCUACUCUUGACAUCCAAAGUACUUUCCAGAGAUGGAAGGGUGCCUUAGGGAACUUUGAGACAGGUGCUGCAUGGCUGUCGUCAGCUCGUGUUGUGAAAUGUUGGGUUAAGUCCCGUAACGAGCGCAACCCUUCCU
This 1108-nucleotide ribosomal RNA is filed under the name Portiera endosymbiont of Bemisia tabaci. RNAcentral's name for it is "bacterial SSU rRNA". It matches the Rfam family "Bacterial small subunit ribosomal RNA", at positions 11 to 1109 of the family's 1533-position model. Lineage: Bacteria; Pseudomonadati; Pseudomonadota; Gammaproteobacteria; Johnevansiales (SeqCode); Johnevansiaceae (SeqCode). The record is from RNAcentral.